This is a long non-coding RNA of Aegilops tauschii subsp. strangulata, 953 nucleotides long. RefSeq lists it as uncharacterized. The record is from RefSeq and is a predicted model, not a curated record. Lineage: Eukaryota; Viridiplantae; Streptophyta; Magnoliopsida; Poales; Poaceae.
GUGCGGACACGACUAGCGUUUAGUGGGAGGCGAAAACCACUCACGUCCGCACUCGUCGCUAUCCGCUCGCGUCCCCAUCCCCAUCCCCCUCGCAUUUGUCGCCACCCCCGCCCCAACAUGCGCCGGCCGCCGCCGCCGCCGACCCACCUCGCAUCGACCGAUGCGGCCGACGGCGGCCGCGGCAGCUUGGCUGCCACGCCUCCACGCCGCCGUCUCCCCGUCCGCCACCUCGCAUUCUCCUGUGAAUUGAGCCAUCGGUCCUCUGCCACGACGCUCUCCCUCGCCUCGUUAAUUACUCACGGAAGGUGUCUUCCCUAUCCACGUUGCUUCAGCAAGCACUCACUCUAUGUUCGAGGAAUUGAAGAAAUUUCAAGGAGAAUGAAGCCUAUGCGUGUGGGUGGUCGCUGUUAUUCAUGAAGCUGUGCGUGUGCGCUACUGCUUCCAGCCCCAUCCUCUGUGGAGGCUUGCUGCCACCAGUGAAAAUGGUUGUAGAAGGGAGAUAAUUGUGGCCAUGGAGGAGAGGUAAGUUUCACGUUUUUUUCUUCGUGAUAUGCAUGUUUAGGUGUUCAUUAUAGUUUUCAAAAAGGCGUUUUGGGGAUAGAUUUGGUGUGGCCAGGUGUUGCGCGGGAGAACCACCACAUCGGAGUCGAGCAACCGCCAUCUUCAAUCCCCAUCUCCGGCGAACUUUCCCGCUCAACCCCUGCCUCUAAUCAGCUACUCUCCUCCAUCCCCGUCCCGGUCAUGGAGCCGGAGCAGCAAUAUGCUAGCUGCACGUCGACUACCGGAUAGUUGUUCAUCGACUGCUAGACAGUUGGCGGGAUAGAAACAGUUGCAUAUCUCACAGCUAGUGGUAGUUAGAGCGGUGAAAAACCCACAUCCGACUACUAGGCGGUGGUUGAGGUCUGACUGACAGAUCCACAACUUUUUUCCUUUAUUUUUUCUACACAAAGAAA